UCUGCUGCGGCUGGAACACCUCCUUAGAGUUUCUGCUGCCGGAUCACGUCCUUAGACCAAAGAGGGGGACCUUCGGGCCUCUUGCCAUCGGAUGUGCCCAGAUGGGAUUAGCUAGUAGGUGGGGUAACGGCUCACCUAGGCGACGAUCCCUAGCUGGUCUGAGAGGAUGACCAGCCACACUGGAACUGAGACACGGUCCAGACUCCUACGGGAGGCAGCAGUGGGGAAUAUUGCACAAUGGGCGCAAGCCUGAUGCAGCCAUGCCGCGUGUAUGAAGAAGGCCUUCGGGUUGUAAAGUACUUUCAGCGGGGAGGAAGGGAGUAAAGUUAAUACCUUUGCUCAUUGACGUUACCCGCAGAAGAAGCACCGGCUAACUCCGUGCCAGCAGCCGCGGUAAUACGGAGGGUGCAAGCGUUAAUCGGAAUUACUGGGCGUAAAGCGCACGCAGGCGGUUUGUUAAGUCAGAUGUGAAAUCCCCGGGCUCAACCUGGGAACUGCAUCUGAUACUGGCAAGCUUGAGUCUCGUAGAGGGGGGUAGAAUUCCAGGUGUAGCGGUGAAAUGCGUAGAGAUCUGGAGGAAUACCGGUGGCGAAGGCGGCCCCCUGGACGAAGACUGACGCUCAGUGCGAAAGCGUG
RNAcentral lists this ribosomal RNA (636 nucleotides) under Shigella sp. HED07. RNAcentral describes it as "bacterial SSU rRNA". It matches the Rfam family "Bacterial small subunit ribosomal RNA", at positions 129 to 763 of the family's 1533-position model. The record is from RNAcentral. Lineage: Bacteria; Pseudomonadati; Pseudomonadota; Gammaproteobacteria; Enterobacterales; Enterobacteriaceae.